UGAGCUUCCAGUAGGUGGCGCUGGUGUGGCCCGUCAUUGGCCGACUGAACAUUUGAACGGGAAGGUCGAAGGUAUUGUGUUGCGUUUCGUGGAGCUGAGGAGGUUUCUGGACACGUGCAUGGCAGUAAAUGGUGUGUCCCAGACUUCAAUUAUCGCCAGGACUGAAGAAGAGGAGGCACAAGGCGGCUGUGGGCGUCGCGAGGCAACACUGGCACACUGAUACGGUGUGAGGUGUGAAAGUACGCGUGUGAAGUGACGAGCUAUCAUGAAACUGCCCCUGAAAAUUGCACAUUGAACACGUCAUAUUCCAGAACUCGCCACGACUUGCAAGAAAAUACUGAAUAAAAAAAAAAAAAAAAAAAAACAGCAACACGAGCAGACUUCAAUAACUGAUACAAGGACACCAGACUGAAAUGGUUGGACAUUCUCCACCCACUUAUUCCACCUGGUCCUUCCCUCCACUGGUCUGUGCUCCUCCCGUGGGACCCUGAGUGGGACAAAAGCCUGCCUCGCUUGAGUCUGUAAGAUGGCACCAACACCACCGCCUCCACCGCCGCCGCCGCUGCCAUCAUCUGCACCACAUUCAGGUUAGACGCGGGACAGGACGAGAGGAGUGCCUUGGGCGGUGAGUACCCUGGAGAUUUUAAAAGAUGCUUUGUUUCGAUUACCAGAGGGGACAAAUAUGAACCUUAAGUACGCCGCGUGAAGAGAGCAAAGCGUACCUUGAGUAUAAAUGUGAGUACAGCUCUUACUCUUGCGGUUUAUUCAAGUAGCUCGUUACGUUGCCUCGUGAUGGGUAGCCAGACGCCUCAUCGUCGCGUGGUUCAUCCCGAAUUGGUCGUUUGCCAUUUUUAUCGUUACUGUUGCUCAUUAUAUCGCGCCAUCGUAGUGUAGUCGUAAAGAAUAUGCGAAGGCGGAUGUAACAUCUCGUCUCGUUAUUACGAAUUGCCUCUUCACGUUAGAGUUUAGAAUAUGCUGCGAGCUGAUACAUAUUUUUUGGCAGUGCUUCCAGAUUAGAGCUUUGGAGAUUUUUGCUUUCGUUAUUAUACUCUUACAUUAUAACUUUAUUGUAGUUAACACUUUCCAUCUUUCCCUGAGAUAUACAAUGAUUUAGUGGACUUUAUGCCUUGUACGCAAUAUUUACAUGCAUCUUGUAGGAAAAAGGGGUCUAAAAAGAAUAUAUUUUCAACUCUAUCCAGUGUUAUGUUUAAACGUGCGCCUGCAGAAAAAAAGGGGUUCCUGACUGGUUUCAGGUGAAUAUGUGUGUGGACGAUGUGUGAAAUUGUAGAGAAAGGGUUACAGGAUCUAGAUCUCUUAAUUUUUGUUGUUGUUUGCGAUUCUACUUCUGGCACAUUCAAGAUUGCAGUACACAUAGUUUUGUUAUCUUUGUUUUAAAUUCGUUUUGUUUUUCUAUUCAAAAAGGAUGAGACUAUUAUCUUUUGACGUGUGCUAGUUUAUUUUUGGUGCUAUUUAGUUUUAAAAAAUGAGUUACAAUUAGCUUUUGUGUGUAUAUUUUUGCAGUUUUCAUGUCAGAAUAUAGAAUGAUUUAUUUUAUUAUUCUCGGGUCUUUGCUGGAGUUGAUAUUGUGAUAGUGCUGAGUAUGAAUCUUUUUUUUUUUUUAUUUCUUUGUCAGUCUGUCCUCUGUAAAUUUAUUUUUCAUGCUGCUUUAAAUUCAGAGUAUGCAGCUUUUAUUUUACUGUUACUCUUUGCCGUAUGAAUAUAGUUUUGGAAACAUUUUGAGUAACAAGUAGAAUUUCUUUUAUUUUUCCGUUUUAUUCUGUGAUUCAUAGCAUAUUCCAGAUAGUGUUCUCAAGAAAGACUAUAUAUGUUACUCCUUUUACCGUUCUUGAAUAUAAUUUUAACAGUUGAGUUUAGAAUAUGAAACUUUCUUAUUACGAUCCUUUCUGCCGUCCGCGAAUAUAGUUUUAGUAAUGGGUGUGCAUUAUUAUUAUUAUUUUUUUUUCGUGUGUGUGUGUUCCUUUCAGCCCUCUCUGUAUAUGUAUUCGACGUUUCCAGGUAAGGACAAGAGUAUUUUCAUCUUGCUCAUUGUUGUCUAUGAUUGAUGUAUAUUUUGGUAAUUGAUGUGGUCCAAUAGAAAAGUUGUCUUUGUCAGCCCGCGAGACUUGUUAGCGGUGAGCAUGUAGUGAAUAUGACCAUUGAUAUUGCAGCGCAUUGUAAGAAAUUAAUGAAAAUGGACAAUUAAUGGAUGAAUCAGUCAAUGAAUGAGUGAGUCGGUGGUGAAUGUUAGAUGCGUCUCGGGCUGGGAGUUAAAGGUGAAGGAGUACAGCGAGAGAAGAUUGAAAUGCUGUUUCUUUAUUUGUGAUCAGAGGAACUGCUUUCAAGAGAGGAAGUUUUCUUUUUUUUCUCAUCAUACAGAAGCUUUUUCAGGGAAAAUUUGUUCUUUAAUUCUCAGAUGUUUAAUUUUCCUUUAAUGUCAAAUGAAAGUUUUUAUUUCCAUUUGUAGUAUAUUAUUUCAUUCCAAGUGCUGUAUUCUUCAUUCAACUUAAUAUUUCCCUCAGUCUUCAAACAGUUUUUAGUUUAAAAUUUUCUGCGAUAGUUUUUCAGAAUUUAUUAACUUUCCAGGUAGAAACGUUUCCAUUAAUAUACAUUUUUAGUCUUAAUUCUUCUGUCUACAAAAAUAUUUUCAUUUGAUCUACACUUUAAAAGUAUUUUAGCUUAUACCCUUCCACUACCAAGGCGUUUUCUCUUAUGAUGUAAAUUUAGCGUUUGAAAGACACUUGUGACUUGAGAGUAUUAUGAGUGCAGUAGUUCAAAUAUUGUAGUGUAUGUACUUAAAUGUUUUGUUUACUCAUAUUGUGCAGUAUCCCUCAAAUUAACUGAUACUAGUAAGUGUUUAAUUGUUAUUAUCAGUCAAAUGGUUAUUUCUUUAAUCUCCAUUGCUAUAUUCUCUUAAUCUACUAACCGCUGAUUUUUUUUCCUUUAAUUUGAAUAAGUCAAUAUUUUUUUUAUUUAAUUUUCCCAUCACAUUCAAAUAUUCUCAUUUAGUUCUCAGAAAAAAGAAAAAUAAUUACGAACUUCAUAUUCGUCACUCCUUCACGUGACAGCCUUUCUGAGUUUGUUUUUACGCGGGAAAGUUUGAAAUUAAGACGGAUGUUCUGGGAAAUCAAAGUUCUUAAAUAUUUUAGUUUGCGUUAAAAAGGGCGAGAAGUGGAGGUGUGACAUCCUGCCUCGCUGGCAGGACGUGUCGCUCCUCACGGGAUUAUGUAGAUCAGUAGCCUUUCGUGUCUAAGCGUGCAGAGGAUGAGUGGGGAAGGUCUUAUGUGAUUUUUAUCAACCGAUUUCAUUCUGUGUAUUCUGGGAGCAAGAUGAGUCUGUGGGGUGUCUGUUUGAAAAAAUAAAUUAAAUAAAAAAAAUUGUUCCUUAUUUCUUUAAUAUCAUGUAUUUUUGGGGUCAUGUAUUUUUUUUUCUUG
This is a long non-coding RNA of Scylla paramamosain (green mud crab), 3431 nucleotides long. RefSeq lists it as uncharacterized. NCBI's taxonomy places the organism in Eukaryota, Metazoa, Arthropoda, Malacostraca, Decapoda, Portunidae. The record is from RefSeq and is a predicted model, not a curated record. The transcript has 5 exons.